This 484-nucleotide ribosomal RNA is filed under the name uncultured bacterium. Its description in RNAcentral is "bacterial SSU rRNA". It matches the Rfam family "Bacterial small subunit ribosomal RNA", at positions 1028 to 1509 of the family's 1533-position model. The record is from RNAcentral.
GAUGGUCGAGGUGCUGCAUGGCUGUCGUCAGCUCGUGUCGUGAGAUGUUGGGUUAAGUCCCGCAACGAGCGCAACCCUUGUCCGCUGUUGCCAUCAGGUUAAGCUGGGCACUCUGCGGAGACUGCCGGUGAUAAACCGGAGGAAGGUGGGGAUGACGUCAAGUCAGCAUGGCCUUUAUGUCUGGGGCUACACACGUGCUACAAUGGCAGGUACAAACCGUCGCGAUGCCGCAAGGUGGAGCUAAUCGGAGAAAACCUGUCUCAGUUCGGAUUGUAGGCUGCAACUCGCCUGCAUGAAGUUGGAAUCGCUAGUAAUCGCGGAUCAGCACGCCGCGGUGAAUACGUUCCCGGGCCUUGUACACACCGCCCGUCACAUCACGAAAGCCGGCUGUACUAGAAGUCGCCGCGUUAACCCGCAAGGGAGACAAGCGCCUAAGGUAUGGUCGGUGAUUGGGGUGAAGUCGUAACAAGGUAAGCGUAGAUGA